AUGGCUUCAUCCGCCGCCGCUUCCUCCCCUCUCUCCGGCCAGAUCACCGAGCGCCUCACCCGCACCAACUACGUCUUAUGGCGCACCCAGAUCACGCCACAGCUGAGAGGGGCUGGAGUCUUCGGAUACGUUGAUGGAAGCACGGCGGAGCCGGCCAAGCUCGUCGUCAGCAAGGACAAGGAUGGAAAGGAGGAAGCCAUCCCCAAUCCCCUCCAUGCCGUCUGGUUCAGAGAGGACCAGCAGGUACUUGGGUAUCUUCUCAAUAAUAUGUCAAAAGAAGUAUUAGUGCAGGUGACUUCCAUCGAGCAUGCACGAGAGCUCUGGACAGCGUUGGCGAGCAUGUUCUCGUCGACGUCCCUGUCCCGCGUCAACAACAUCCGAGCUGCCCUCACAAAUGCG
This 399-nucleotide ribosomal RNA is filed under the name Triticum aestivum (bread wheat). RNAcentral's name for it is "partial small subunit ribosomal RNA". The record is from RNAcentral. Lineage: Eukaryota; Viridiplantae; Streptophyta; Magnoliopsida; Poales; Poaceae.